UGGGGAAUAUUGGACAAUGGGCGCAAGCCUGAUCCAGCCAUGCCGCGUGAGUGAUGAAGGCCCUAGGGUUGUAAAGCCCUUUCACCGGUGAAGAUAAUGACGGUAACCGGAGAAGAAGCCCCGGCUAACUUCGUGCCAGCAGCCGCGGUAAUACGAAGGGGGCUAGCGUUGUUCGGAUUUACUGGGCGUAAAGCGCACGUAGGCGGACUAUUAAGUCAGGGGUGAAAUCCCGGGGCUCAACCCCGGAACUGCCUUUGAUACUGGUAGUCUUGAGUUCGAGAGAGGUGAGUGGAAUUCCGAGUGUAGAGGUGAAAUUCGUAGAUAUUCGGAGGAACACCAGUGGCGAAGGCGGCUCACUGGCUCGAUACUGACGCUGAGGUGCGAAAGCGUGGGGAGCAAACAGG
Molecule: ribosomal RNA, 404 nt
Filed under: Actinomycetes bacterium
Lineage: Bacteria; Bacillati; Actinomycetota; Actinomycetes
Description: Actinobacteria bacterium partial 16S ribosomal RNA
Rfam family: Bacterial small subunit ribosomal RNA
Source: RNAcentral